GGACUGGAAAGGCUAAAGGAGUAAAAUGAAGUACACAAGAAAUAAGAAUUUAGACAUGUGCUGCAGCUAGAAACAGAUAUGUAAGUAUUUAUAAAUAAAAAUUAUCAGUGUUCCCAACAUGCCCAAAGUUGGGAUUGGGGUGAAGGUUUACUGCUUAUCCUGCUACAUUUUUGUACCUUAAAUAAAUGUUAAGAAGAAAAAUUGCUUACUCUUUAUGUUAAUAACUGUAUAAUAAAUUUGCUGUUAAUAAAGAAUCUUGAUUUUGUAAUUUGCUUUUAAUUAGUCCCCUACCAAUGAAGUUGAUGUGGAAUUAAGUUUGCACUCCGUCUGUCUGUCUGUCUGUCAAUUCUCAGUCAGGCAAAUCAGUUUUCCACACUUUUUUCUUCCUUCUUGAAGAUAUUGAUUUAAUGUUAGUUAUAAAGUUGUAUCAUGACACAAGUUAUAGAUCAAGUUUGAAUGGUAUUUUGGUCUGAUGAUUAUGUCCAGAGUUAUGGUCCAAAAAAAAUUUGAUAUCUAUAACAUUAUUAGUUUGGGUGAAAAUACCAUGAUUACCAAACAAUGUUGGGACAUUUUUUCUGACGUACAUUGUAUGUUUUUCUAUAUAGCAUGUAUAGAAUGCUUUAUAAUAUUUGUGCAUUUUAGCUGGAUUUACUAUAUUGGAAAUACAAUUCAGUACCAAUUAAAAUGUACUUAUUUAUGCAUUACUACUAUAUGACAUGUACAACAAACUACAAUAUAUAUAUAUAUGUAUAGCAAUUGCAAAAUUUCUUCUGAACUAACUAAUUCAGUAAAGUGAAUGAGUUCCAGCUGGCAAAAACAUGUAGUACAUGUAUGCACUGGAAGUUGGUAUCCCUGAGAUUAAUAAAAUAGUUUUUGUACAUGUACACAAAAUAUAUAUUUAUUGUGAAAGAAAUGAAACUUUUCUGCAGAAUAGUAUCCUCUUGGUCAAAGUACAUGUACAUGUAUUUAUAAUAAACAUUAAUAAGUAAUGCAAUACAUUUGUUUUCAGUGUCAUUGAGUUAUUCAACAACAUAUUAGUAUGCAUGAUCACAUGAAUGAGAAAUCAUAUAUUUUUUUUUUCAGGGGAAUAUUUUGCAUAUAUAAAAUCCAGAGAAUGAAUCAAUGGCAAUUGAACAUAUCUUAUUUACUAGAAAGUGUUUCCUGGCAUGCCUGAGGAACAAGCCUGUGUGUUUAAGGUAUAAAGACUUAACAAUUAACAUAUAUCUAAAUAGAUAUACAUGCCCCUUGGAAACAAUCAUUAUAUGGAAAACUGCCUUACACAUGUUACAAGUGCUCUAAUGUGUACAAUUCUUACCAGAUUUUUGUCGAGCCUGCAACUUUUGUCGCAGAAAGCUGGACAUAGUGAUAGUGAUACAGUGCCCUGGUGUUGGCAGCGGCAGCUAACUCUCAAAAGCUUCAUAUUUUAGAGGGUUGAAGACUUGGAUGCAUCAUACUUUGUAUAUAGAUGCCUCAUGUUAUGAAGUUUCCAUCAGUCACAUGUCCAAUGUCUUUGACCUCAUUUUCUUGUAUAUUCAGUGUAUGGAAGGACUGUAAGGUGUACAUGUCCAACUGGCAGGUGUCAUGUGACCUUGACCUAAUUUUUAUGGUUCAGCUGUAAUAGUUAAGUUUUUGUGUUUUGGUCUGUUUUUCUUAUACUGUAUGCAAUAGGUCUACUAUAAUUGGUGUAUGGAAUGAUGAUAAGGUGUACAUGUCUAGCUGGUAGGUGUCAUCUGACCUUGACCUCAUUUUUAUGGUUCAGUGGUCAAAGGUAAAUUUUUAAGUUUUGGUCUUUUUAAAAACUAUAUGGUCAACUUUUUUAUAGCUUUUUGUUCGGUGUGAGCCAAGGCUCCGUGUUGAUGGCUGUACAUUGACCUAUAAUGGUUUACUUUUAUAAAUUGUUAUUUGGAUGGAGAGUUGUCUCAUUGGCACUCACACCACAUACUCCUAUAUCUAAUAAUUAUUUGGUGUAUGGAAAUAUUGUAUGAACUAUAUGUUAGUCACACAGGUUUUAUUUGACCUUGACCUCAAUUGGUAAAUGUUAAGUUUAUGUCAUUGUGACAGUUAUAUUUAGGACCAUCAACAUAAUAUCAAUGAUUAGUAAAGAAGUAGAGACAUUUCAGUGUGUGCACUCUUGUUAUGAAAUUUAUGUUAAGUUUUAUGUCAUCAAUAUUUUAGACAAGUUUGAAAAUCAUUGCAGAACAAAUAUUUUUAAAAGAAUUGUUUCCUUGAAUGUCCCAAAUAUAAAAAAAGAAGAUGUGGUAUGAUUGCCAAUGAGACAACUCUCCACAAGAGACCAAAUGACAAAGAAAUUAACAACUAUCAUCUGACAUGAUCAUGACUAUAGUUAAUCGUACAACCUUCAACAAUGAGCAAAGCCCAUACCAUACAGUCAGCUAUAAAAGGCCGUGAAAUGACAAAUGUAAAACAUUUCAAACAAGAAAACAAACCACCUAAUUUAAGUACAAAAAAUUAACGAAAAAAAAUAAUAUGUAACACAUCAACAAACAUUAACAACUGAAUAACAGGCUCCUGACAGGCACAUUUGUACAGAAUGUGUGGGGGUGGGGUUCAACAUGUAAGCGAGAUCAAAACCCUCCCUCUAACUUGGGACAGUGGUGUGAAAGUACAACAUAAGAAUAAACUAUAAAAAUCAGUUGAAAAAGGCUUAAAUUUACUGUCUCAUCAAAUGAUACAAAUAGAAAUACAACACAGAGUAGACAUGGCUGGGUACUUGUUUAUUUAUCCCAACAACAAAAAGACAGCUAAGUGCAGAUCUGAGAGUACUCACAGCUACUGGCAGCUAGUUUAAAGCCACUAUCAUCUAAUAAAAAAAUCUCGAUCUUGGACUAAAUUAUCAAUCAGUACACAUCCAACAUCCAAUGGAUUUAGUGUAAAGAAGUCAUUUAAACAGUCAGAGGAAAACAUGACUGCGCGUAUAAUGCCAAGAUACAGGUUUAGACAGAUUAUAGAUCUUUGAAUCUGUAUAUGUAUAUAACAGUAAUAUUUAGUUUGCUUUUAAUUUUCUGAUAACAAAAUCAAUAUUAAUACCAGGAAAAACAAUAUUCAAUGAUCAAAAUUGGUUUCCAAUCUCUAACUUUAGUUUUGAAUAACUUGACCAAAUGUUAUAAAAACAUAUACAAAAUGCUUAAUAGCACAAAACGUGUGUCAAGAUUGAAUUUUGGUGGCGUCAUUUUAAUCGUUUUAGAGUUAUGCCCCUUUACAAAUGGAAAAACUGCUGAAUUUUCAGUUUUCUGUUUUCUAACUUAAGUUAGCCUCAACCAAAAGUAAUGAAACUUAUACACAAUUCUUAUUACCGCAAAAAAAAGAGCAAGAUUGAAUUUGGGUGGUGUCACUUUUAAUAAAAAUGUUUUCUGAUUUUUUUUACAUAAAUUAGACUGUUGUUUUACCCUUUUGAAUGGUUUUACACUAGUCAUUUUUGGGGCCCUUUAUAGCCUACUGUUCUGUGGGAGCUAAGGCUCUAUGUUGAAACCCAUACUUUGACCAAUAAUGUUUUUUUCUUUUUCAAAUUGUGACUUGGAGUGAGAGUUGUCUCAUUUGCACUCAUACCACAUCUUCUUGUAAUAUAUCUUUUAUCUUUCCCUUUAAAAAAAAUGGAAAAAUUGCUGAGUUUUUCCUUUUAGUUCACUACCUUGAGUUUGCCUUCGCAAAAUGGUAUGAAACUUAUACACCAUACUUUUUACCACAAAACUCUGAUCAAGUACAAAUUUGGGGAGCAUCACAUUUACAUGUUCUUCAGUUAUGUCCCUUUAUAACUUUAUAUGAUAUUUGUGUCACAUGAACACAUUCACCAUUCAUUGAGUUAUUGCCUUUGUGUUUAAUAGAUAAGAUAUGUGCAACAUGGGGGACAUUUGAACUCAUUUAUUGAGUUAUUGCCCUUGUAUUUAAUAGAUAAGAUAUGUGCAAUUCUGUUCUUUUAUUGAUUUUCAAUUUUGCUUUAGUUCAGUUAUGCAAAGAUACUACAGUGUAAUACUAUAUGUUGGAAUUCAUAUCAAGAACAGAUAAUACACCUAUGAGUAGAUACUGUUGUGAAUUUUUAGCUCACCUGGCCUGAAGGGCCAAGUGAGCUUUUCCCAUCACUUGGCGUCCGUCGUCGUUGUCCGUCGUCGUUGUCCAUCGUCGUCGUCCGUCGUCGUUAGCUUUUACAAAAAUCUUCUCCUCUGAAACUACUGGGCCAAAUUAAACCAAACUUGGCCACAAUCAUUAUUGGGGUAUCUAGUUUUAAAAUGUGUGGCAUGACCCGGUCAACCAACCAAGAUGGCCGCCACGGCUAAAAAUAGAACAUAGGGGUAAAAUGUAGUUUUUGGCUUAUAACUCAAAAACCAAAGCAUUUAGAGCAAAUCUGACAGGGUAUAAUUGUUUAUCAGGUCAAGAUCUAUCUGCCCUGAAAUUUUCAGACGAAUCAGACAACCCUUUGUUGGGUUGCUGCCCCUGAAUUUGUAAUUUUAAGGAAAUUUUGCUGUUUUUGGUUAUUAUCUUGAAUAUUUUUAUAGAUAGAGAUAAACUGUAAACAGCAAUAAUGUUCAGCGAAGUAAGAUUUACAAAUAAGUCAACAUGACCGAAAUGGUCAGUUGACCCCUUUACGAGUUAUUGCCCUUUAUAGUCAAUUUAUAACCAUUUUUCGUAAAUCUUAGUUAUCUUUUACAAAAGUCUUCUCCUCUGAAACUACUGGUCCAAAUUAAUCCAAACUUGGCAACAAUCAUCUUUGGGGUAUCUAGUUUAAAAAAUGUGUCCGGUGACCUGGCCAUCAAAUCAAGAUGUAGGGUUAAAAUGCAGUUUUUGGCUUAUAACUCAAAAACCAAAGCAUUAAGAGCAAAUCUGACAUGGGGUAUAAUUGUUUAUCAGAUCAAGAUCUAUCUGCCCUGUAAUUUUCAGAUGAAUCUGACAACCCUUUGUUGGGUUGCUGCCCCUGAAUCGGUAAUUUUAAGGAAAUUUUGCUGUUUUUGGUUGUUAUCUUGAAUAUUAUUAUAGAUAAAGAUAAACUGUACACAGCAAUCAUGUUCAGCAAAGUAAGAUUUACAAAUAAGUCAACAUGACCGAAAUGGUCAAUUGACCCCCUAAGGAGUUAUUGUCCUUUAUAGUCAAUUUUUAACAAUUUUUAUAAAAUUUGUAAAUUUUUAUUAACAUUUCCACUGAAACUACUGGGCCAAGUUCAUUAUAGAUAGAGAUAAUUGUAAGCAGCAAGACUGUUUAGUAAAGUAAGAUUUACAAACACAUCACUAUCACCAAAACACAACUUUGUCAUGAAUCCAUCUGCUUCCUUUGUUUAAUAUUCACAUAUACCAAGGUGAGCGACACAGGCUCUAAUUAGAGCCUCUAGUUUUUAAAGCUGAAAUUAUCAAUAAACAAACUCAUAAAUGCCAUGUAAAUUAAUAUUUUAUUUCAAUCUAUAUUUACAGAUAAGAAAACAACUUCAGCAUGCAAGAAAGAAG
This 5450-nucleotide long non-coding RNA is filed under the name Mytilus galloprovincialis (Mediterranean mussel). The record is from RNAcentral. Lineage: Eukaryota; Metazoa; Mollusca; Bivalvia; Mytilida; Mytilidae.